CAAGCGGUGGAGCAUGUGGUUUAAUUCGAUGCAACGCGAAGAACCUUGCCUGGUCUUGACAUCCACAGAAUCUUGCAGAGAUGCGAGAGUGCCUUCGGGAACUGUGAGACAGGUGCUGCAUGGCUGUCGUCAGCUCGUGUUGUGAAAUGUUGGGUUAAGUCCCGCAACGAGCGCAACCCUUAUCCUUUGUUGCCAUCGGUUAGGCCGGGAACUCAAAGGAGACUGCCGUUGAUAAAGCGGAGGAAGGUGGGGACGACGUCAAGUCAUCAUGGCCCUUACGACCAGGGCUACACACGUGCUACAAUGGCGUAUACAAAGGGAGGCGACCUCGCGAGAGCAAGCGGACCUCAUAAAGUACGUCUAAGUCCGGAUUGGAGUCUGCAACUCGACUCCAUGAAGUCGGAAUCGCUAGUAAUCGUGAAUCAGAAUGUCACGGUGAAUACGUUCCCGGGCCUUGUACACACC
RNAcentral lists this ribosomal RNA (465 nucleotides) under uncultured bacterium. RNAcentral's name for it is "bacterial SSU rRNA". It matches the Rfam family "Bacterial small subunit ribosomal RNA", at positions 926 to 1391 of the family's 1533-position model. The record is from RNAcentral.